UGGUCUGAGUCGGCCGCGCCCAAGUCCAUUGGAACAUGGCGCCUGGGAGGGUGAGAGCCCCGUAUGGCGCACGCCGACUCUUUGUACACCGCGGCUCCGACGAGUCGAGUUGUUUGGGAAUGCAGCUCUAAGUGGGUGGUAAAUUCCAUCUAAAGCUAAAUAUUGGCGAGAGACCGAUAGCGAACAAGUACAGUGAUGGAAAGAUGAAAAGCACUUUGAAAAGAGAGUGAAACAGCACGUGAAAUUGUUGAAAGGGAAGGGCUUGCAAGCAGACACGGUUUUACCGGGCCAGCGUCGAAAAGGGGGGAGGAACAAGAACUCGAGAAUGUGGCGCGCACCUUCGGGCGCGCGUGUUAUAGCUCGUGUUGACGCCUCCAUCCCUUUUCGAGGCCUGCGAUUCUAGGAC
Molecule: ribosomal RNA, 406 nt
Filed under: Clavispora lusitaniae
Lineage: Eukaryota; Fungi; Ascomycota; Pichiomycetes; Serinales; Metschnikowiaceae
Description: partial large subunit ribosomal RNA
Rfam family: Eukaryotic large subunit ribosomal RNA
Source: RNAcentral